Molecule: non-coding RNA, 1097 nt
Organism: Epinephelus lanceolatus (giant grouper)
Lineage: Eukaryota; Metazoa; Chordata; Actinopteri; Perciformes; Serranidae
Source: RefSeq, a predicted model, not a curated record
GCUGAGGCUGAGACUAUAUAAACAGAGGUGAGUUCAAACCUCAGUCAGCUGCUGCUGAACAUCUUCUGAUAUCCUGUCACCACCUGAAGACGAAGACAUUUGCAGAGGAAUUUAUAAAAGUGAACACAAGACCUCUCUCAUCAUGGAUAUAACCAUCGUUAUGCUGAACGGGACUUCCCACACACUGAGCGUGCACCCAGGGGACACAGUGGGCUCUCUGAAACAACGCAUCCAGGACAAGUUUGGAGUCCCCUGUGAGAAGCAGAAGCUGAUGUUUGUGAAUGGUCAGAAGACUCACCUGAGCUAUGACGUAAUGUCCAUCAGCUCCUACGGUUUGCACCCGGGUGCCAUUGUGUCGCUGCUGGUGAUCGAGCCGCCGACCAUCCAGGUGUUCGUCAGAAAUCUCGAGGGGAAGUCGAACACCUAUGAUAUCAAAGCUGACGAGACUGUGGCCUUAUUCAAGAGCAAGGUCCAGAGCAGAGAGGGGGUCCCGGUGAGCCAGCAGAGGCUCAUUCACCAGGGCAGAGAGAUGAGGGAGGGCAGACUGGCGGACUACGACGUCACUGCCAACAGCACCAUCGACAUGAGUACGCGCCUGAGAGGAGGCUGAGGACUAUUAAAUCUGAACAUUUAUUAUCUAGUAUAAAAAAAAUAUUUUCUGUAGCUACAUUCCUUUAUUUUUUAUUAAUUUCUAAUGGAUAUGAAGGUCAUAUUCCAUGUCUUAUUUAUUUGUAUUUUCAUUUUGAAAAAAAACAACAACAAUGCAUUCCUCCUGUGUGUAAUCAUGCAUGUCUUUAAAACGUUAUUUGUUUUAAUUUGGCAAUACAAAUCUGUCUUCCAUUUUUAAUGGAAAUGGACUUACCUGCACUUUAUAUUGUGGCAACUCCUGCUCAUGUUCCUUCUUGCUCACACUAUAGGCUAUAUAUGGUGGUGUAGCUAUUCACACUUCAUACUGUUAAAACUGUUCAAAGUGGGACCAAGUCAUUGUUUUUGUCAAGUUCUGCCUGUUACAUUGAUUUGUCUUCUUUCAAAAUACACCUCUGUUUUCACAGGAAAUUUAAUGUUACAUGAAGCCUCUUUCAAAAUAAAUGCACUAC